AUUGAACGCUGGCGGCAGGCCUAACACAUGCAAGUCGAGCGAGCGGCGGACGGGUGAGGAAUGUAUGGGGACUGCCCGAUAGCGGGGGAUAACUACUGGAAAAGGUAGCUAAUACCGCAUACUAUCGGAUAACCCAUAUGGGGUUAGAUAGUAGGUGAGGUAAUGGCGUACCUAGGAGACGAUCCCUAGCUGGUCUGAGAGGAUGAUCAGCCACACUGGGACUGAGACACGGCCCAGACUCCUACGGAGGCAGCAGUGGGGAAUAUUGCGCAAUGGGCGCAAGCCUGACGCGGCCAUGCCGCGUGUAUGAAGAAGGCCCUAGGGUUGUAAAGUACUUUCAGUAGGGAGGCGUUACCUACAGAAGAAGCACCGGCUAACUCCGUGCCAGCAGCCGCGGUAAUAC
RNAcentral lists this ribosomal RNA (403 nucleotides) under uncultured bacterium. RNAcentral's name for it is "partial 16S ribosomal RNA". It matches the Rfam family "Bacterial small subunit ribosomal RNA", at positions 30 to 526 of the family's 1533-position model. The record is from RNAcentral.